UUUCUCCACGAUUUGCAACUA
This 21-nucleotide non-coding RNA is filed under the name Caenorhabditis elegans. Lineage: Eukaryota; Metazoa; Nematoda; Chromadorea; Rhabditida; Rhabditidae. The record is from RNAcentral.